This is a long non-coding RNA of Peromyscus californicus insignis, 570 nucleotides long. RefSeq lists it as uncharacterized. The record is from RefSeq and is a predicted model, not a curated record. The transcript has 3 exons. Lineage: Eukaryota; Metazoa; Chordata; Mammalia; Rodentia; Cricetidae.
UGGAAACCUGCAAGGACGCCGCCAAUUACCGUCUAUGAACCUGCGAAGCUUGCAGUGUGUGAGGAUGCGCAGAACGAGGCGCUCAGCGCUCUGCGUCCAGUUAAUCAUCCGGGCUGCCUUGAACUGAGCCCACUGUGGUGGAAAUCGUCUCUGCCUGCCUUUCCAGAGGGCGUGACACUGUGAGAAGAAGUAGUGUGUCCCAGGGCCAUAGCACCAGCUGCCAGGCCUGCAAGGCCAUUGGCUUAACCUGCCUCAGGAGCUAGUGGAAGGCAAUGGUCCCCAGUGAGCUGUUCCCAGAGCGGUUCUCAGCUGCCUGGAAGCUACUCAUGAGGAAGCAACAGGAACUCCCAGCCAUAUACCUGGGCUGGAGAUGCAUAUGGACACCGGUGGAUGAACCAGACUGACCAGCUCAGCUCCCAUGCCUCAACCCAGUUUCCAAGGGAGUCCUAUAAAAGCCCCUGAGGCAGCAGUUGGGUGGUACCCCUCUCCGGGACCCGCUUCUGCUGCUCAGGAGCUCUACUUACUGUCUCUUGAGUGUGAGCCUAUAAUAAACUCCUUUCUAAAAUCUCU